This 1422-nucleotide ribosomal RNA is filed under the name Lactiplantibacillus plantarum. RNAcentral's name for it is "bacterial SSU rRNA". It matches the Rfam family "Bacterial small subunit ribosomal RNA". The record is from RNAcentral. Lineage: Bacteria; Bacillati; Bacillota; Bacilli; Lactobacillales; Lactobacillaceae.
UGCAAGUCGAACGAACUCUGGUAUUGAUUGGUGCUUGCAUCAUGAUUUACAUUUGAGUGAGUGGCGAACUGGUGAGUAACACGUGGGAAACCUGCCCAGAAGCGGGGGAUAACACCUGGAAACAGAUGCUAAUACCGCAUAACAACUUGGACCGCAUGGUCCGAGCUUGAAAGAUGGCUUCGGCUAUCACUUUUGGAUGGUCCCGCGGCGUAUUAGCUAGAUGGUGGGGUAACGGCUCACCAUGGCAAUGAUACGUAGCCGACCUGAGAGGGUAAUCGGCCACAUUGGGACUGAGACACGGCCCAAACUCCUACGGGAGGCAGCAGUAGGGAAUCUUCCACAAUGGACGAAAGUCUGAUGGAGCAACGCCGCGUGAGUGAAGAAGGGUUUCGGCUCGUAAAACUCUGUUGUUAAAGAAGAACAUAUCUGAGAGUAACUGUUCAGGUAUUGACGGUAUUUAACCAGAAAGCCACGGCUAACUACGUGCCAGCAGCCGCGGUAAUACGUAGGUGGCAAGCGUUGUCCGGAUUUAUUGGGCGUAAAGCGAGCGCAGGCGGUUUUUUAAGUCUGAUGUGAAAGCCUUCGGCUCAACCGAAGAAGUGCAUCGGAAACUGGGAAACUUGAGUGCAGAAGAGGACAGUGGAACUCCAUGUGUAGCGGUGAAAUGCGUAGAUAUAUGGAAGAACACCAGUGGCGAAGGCGGCUGUCUGGUCUGUAACUGACGCUGAGGCUCGAAAGUAUGGGUAGCAAACAGGAUUAGAUACCCUGGUAGUCCAUACCGUAAACGAUGAAUGCUAAGUGUUGGAGGGUUUCCGCCCUUCAGUGCUGCAGCUAACGCAUUAAGCAUUCCGCCUGGGGAGUACGGCCGCAAGGCUGAAACUCAAAGGAAUUGACGGGGGCCCGCACAAGCGGUGGAGCAUGUGGUUUAAUUCGAAGCUACGCGAAGAACCUUACCAGGUCUUGACAUACUAUGCAAAUCUAAGAGAUUAGACGUUCCCUUCGGGGACAUGGAUACAGGUGGUGCAUGGUUGUCGUCAGCUCGUGUCGUGAGAUGUUGGGUUAAGUCCCGCAACGAGCGCAACCCUUAUUAUCAGUUGCCAGCAUUAAGUUGGGCACUCUGGUGAGACUGCCGGUGACAAACCGGAGGAAGGUGGGGAUGACGUCAAAUCAUCAUGCCCCUUAUGACCUGGGCUACACACGUGCUACAAUGGAUGGUACAACGAGUUGCGAACUCGCGAGAGUAAGCUAAUCUCUUAAAGCCAUUCUCAGUUCGGAUUGUAGGCUGCAACUCGCCUACAUGAAGUCGGAAUCGCUAGUAAUCGCGGAUCAGCAUGCCGCGGUGAAUACGUUCCCGGGCCUUGUACACACCGCCCGUCACACCAUGAGAGUUUGUAACACCCAAAGUCGGUGGGGUAACCUUUU